CAGCUGGGACAGCCACUGCAGCACCGCUCUGCUCUCUCGCCUCCCCAGCGGCAGACACCCCAGCCUGUGCCACGGCCACUGCUCAGGAUGGGGAAGGAGGUUUGAUUUGCCCAAGGACCACCAGGGAAUCACUGCAUGGGCUGACCCCAGCUGCAGCCCUCCUGCAUGGCUGCCUGUCACUCCAGCUAAGCAGAGGAGCUGCCGUUACCAGCACCCUUUCCCUUUCUAAUCUGAAGGCAGCCCUGCGGUGAGAGAGUCCCAGCGUCACCCAUCACCCCAGCAGGUCAGGGGCCCUGGAGUCCCCCCUUGAUGAAUGACCUUAGCAGGAAAGAGAAAUCUGCCCCCUCUCCAUGCCCCACACCCACAGCCAAACAGUGGCUUCUCACCACUCCAGCUUCCUUUCCAAGAGGGUCCAAGCUCCCACCGUGGCUUCCACACUAUUCAGACACUUCCUAAGUUCACGGGUCAUUCCAGUGCUUUGCCACUUCCAGGGAAAUCAGCACUGGAAAUGCAAGUCAGCAAAUAGGACAGAAGCCCAGGAACCAAGGGUAGGGCCCAGGGAGCCCUACCAGGGGCUGGCAAUCUAGGGCAAGUCUCUCCCCUCCAGGCUCGUCUCCUCCUCUGUUGUCGGAUAAAGCAAAUCGCUUCCAGCUCUAUAUGCCCCGCCAUCUUUUUGUAAUUAAUAUUUCAACUGAUUACAUGAGUUAGAGGAAACCAAACAAUGAGGAUGAUGAAAACAAAAAGUGUUUGCAUUGGAAUUUACACAAUGAACUCACCCUAGAACUAUUCCAGAAUUAAAAGCCUCUUAAAAUACGGUCAGAUGCAGCAUAGGCCAACCCAUGCUGCUUUGAGCUGCUUCCAGUGGUCUUGGUUGGAAAGAAUGGACUGCCUAGGAUGGAGGGGGAGUGGGGUGGGGUGGGGAGGUGGGGGCCUGCACAGAACCUGGGGGAGCAAACCCUGGCCUCAGACAUGAAGUCUGACAAAAGAGCCUUGUGUGGUGUAGGGCUCAGAGUCCAGUUUCUUGUGCUGAGAACCAAGUGGAGGAUCGCGUGUCUGCCUACCCGCCCCAUGUCCCCCCACCCCAUCCCCCCACUGAGCGCCCACUGCUUGCAUCGGGGCCAUCAGGAAUAGCAGUGAGGGGGGCUCUGUGGCUCCCUGGAGCUCUCAGCCGCCUUGCAUAUCUCCAGGGGCUUCUGGAAUGGUCUGGAUCUGUAUACAGUUUCAGGGUUUCCUUGCUUUUCCAGUCUGAGACUGAAACUCAUCCUCUAAGCAUUUGAAAGAAACAACAGGAAAACUCAAUCCUCUUUCCUUCCACAGCACAUUUAGGGUGAGAGCUUCACAGCUGAAAAUCUCCUUUAAAGAAAACGCGGCCCAAAUAUGCUGGGAGGAGAAGCCAGUGGAUCUAGGAGGGGCCGGCGUUGCCGGCUCUGUCUCUGGGCUGACAACCUGGUUUCAGUAUUGGUAAGUGGGUCAACCCCAGCUCCAGCGGCUCCUCCUCACCUCUGCCGAUUGAGGGCCACUGCAAAUUUCAAGCAGAAUAAAAGAGUAUUCUGAGGGCCACUGCAAA
RNAcentral lists this long non-coding RNA (1567 nucleotides) under Homo sapiens (human). RNAcentral's name for it is "HSALNT0360485". The record is from RNAcentral. Lineage: Eukaryota; Metazoa; Chordata; Mammalia; Primates; Hominidae.